CCUACGGGAGGCAGCAGUGAGGAAUAUUGGUCAAUGGGCGCGAGCCUGAACCAGCCAAGUAGCGUGAAGGAUGACUGCCCUACGGGUUGUAAACCUCUUUUAUAAAGGAAUAAAGUGCGGCACGUGUGCCUUUUUGUAAGUACUUUAUGAAUAAGGAUCGGCUAACUCCGUGCCAGCAGCCGCGGUAAUACGGAGGAUGUGAGCGUUAUCCGGAUUUAUUGGGUUUAAAGGGUGCGUAGAUGGGUUGUUAAGUCAGUUGUGAAAGUUUGCGGCUCAACCGUAAAAUUGCAAUUGAUACUGGCAGCCUUGAGUACAGGUGAGGUAGGCGGAAUUCGUGGUGUAGCGGUGAAAUGCAUAGAUAUCACGAAGAACUCCGAUUGCGAAGGCAGCUUACUAAACUGCCACUGACAUUGAUGCUCGAAAGUGUGGGUAUCAAACAGGAUUAGAUACCCUAGUAGUC
This 460-nucleotide ribosomal RNA is filed under the name uncultured bacterium. RNAcentral's name for it is "partial 16S ribosomal RNA". It matches the Rfam family "Bacterial small subunit ribosomal RNA", at positions 338 to 795 of the family's 1533-position model. The record is from RNAcentral.